Molecule: long non-coding RNA, 497 nt
Organism: Poecilia latipinna (sailfin molly)
Lineage: Eukaryota; Metazoa; Chordata; Actinopteri; Cyprinodontiformes; Poeciliidae
Exons: 3
Source: RefSeq, a predicted model, not a curated record
UUGGUGUUAAAAAUUAACUUGCAUUUUGUGUUGACAUUCAUAGAGAAAAAUAAGUGACAAUAAGAAAUUAUGUUUUCUAAAAAGUGAGUGAAAGAAAACAGAAAUGAUACAGAUUUAAAAGCAGUGGCCCUAGCAUGCAGCCCUGAGAAACAUAAACUCCUGACAAACCACCAUUUGUCAGGUAAAAUCAGAUCCUAAAGUUUUAAAGUAUAAAUAAUUCCCAAAUCAACUUUUUUUUUUUUUUUUGCUGAUAAACUGUUGAAAUAGGUUAUUUAGGGUUCUUUAUGUUUCUGUGCAAAUUUUGACAUUUUCAGGCAAGUUUGCUUCGGAUCUAUAACCGUUUUGCUGCCGGCCUCUGGUUGAUUGGUGCCUAUGCAGUUGAAUUUUCCUAUUCCUUGCAGCAGUUCAGUUUGGUACAACUUUGUCACAGCCCUGCGUUCAGGUCUAGAACCAUCUCACUCCGCCCCUGUCUGGCCAGCUGGUCUUUGCUAGCCUUU